Papaver somniferum (opium poppy) is the source of this 2681-nucleotide long non-coding RNA. RefSeq lists it as uncharacterized. Lineage: Eukaryota; Viridiplantae; Streptophyta; Magnoliopsida; Ranunculales; Papaveraceae. The transcript is spliced from 4 exons. The record is from RefSeq and is a predicted model, not a curated record.
UAUUUCUUUUCUGAUUAAAAUAACCUCUCACACAAGAACAUAUCUUGAUUUGUUCGCAAACCAGUUUUUCAUUUCAUUUCUCCACCCAUAGAUUUCUGUAAUAAUAAUGAGGAGAUUCAGAACCUCUAUAUGAUAAGAAUCAAUUUUCAUUUCAUCUAUUAGAUUUCAGGUUAGUAUUUGAACUUUAAUUACUCAAUAUUCAUAUAUCUCUCAUUCGAUUUUCUAUGUCAAUCGAUUUAUUAUCGAUUCCGAAUGUUUGAUUAGAAAUGAUCAUGAUCCAAUAUUUUCUCAUAUCUCUCUACUUCUCGUCUCUAGUGAUCUGUUGAGGAAGAAUCUUAGUUAGAAAAACUAGUUAUUUUUAUAAGAAAAUUUCAGAUCUAAAAUUUUUAGAAGAGAGAGGCGAUUUCAAAAAAGUUUUAGGGCUUCGUUAUUCUCCGUGGUUGUUUUCUGCGAUUCAAGAUAAAGAUCAUACAUGUAAAAAAAAAAAAAAUCAUUUUGGUGAAGGUGAAUAAAGAAAUUGAAGAUAAUAUCCAUGCCACAUGAGUGAUUGAAAUUGAAAUUGAAAUCUAUAAAGUGCUCUGUGUUUGAACCUUCUUCGACGAUGAAAGAAUCUGAACCAAUGGAGAAAUUAGUUUCUUCUUUGAAAUUAACAGCUUAAUUCGAGUUUCUGCUAGUUGAUUUUGAAAAUUGGAAGAUCGAAGAAGACCUCUGGACCAAGUGGAAAUAUUUCUUGUAAAUUUUCAGAUUCUGUACAAGACCGUCAGUUGGAUAUUAAAGGGAACACAUUUUCAUUUGGAGUGAUGUUACUUGAAAUAAUUAGUGGGAGACCUCCGUAUAGUAAAGAUACAGGAUAUUUGAUAAAUUGGAUGGAAGAAACCAACGAGUGCGAAACUAGCCCUUGGGAGCUGUAAAGCGAGUUUAUGUUAUUUUCACAUCUUUGGAAUCUUGGAUUUUCAUUUCCUUGAUGGAUCCUUGACCUUAGCGGCACAUUUUAAACCUGAUUUUUCUUCUCCACUGUCAAGCACGUAAUUGUGUCGUAUCCCAGGCCUGAAACUUCAUGGAUUGAGGGUGUCCUUGUGAGUCAUUAACAAAUCCUGUGGUUAUUGUGGAAGUAUCAUAAAGGAUGAGCUGUAGGGUGAACAGUGUGAGUCAACAUGUGACUUUGCCACCUACUUCUUAUGCCAUUACUGUGUUUUAUGCGAAGAAGCGAGAUAGCUGCCACGUAGGUCUCCGCAUCCAGGAUUUAAUGGUAGGUCCAUCUUUGUUAUGAUGCCUCCAUCAGAGCAGGUGGUAAUUCCUGAAAUAUGUGACCCCUUAAUGAUAUCUACCUAUAUCCUUUCUAUUCAUAUAUACUGGAUACAUGUUAAACCCCAUAGUUAGCUACAUGCAAUCUUUAUGACAUAUACUAACAACUUGGGUUUGUCACAAGAUGCAUCUGUACAUGAACGACAAUGUCCAGAGACCAUGUUUUGAUAUCUAUUCGACACUUUUUAUUGAUAUGUUAAUGUACAUAACAAUGUACACAUGUGGCUUCUUAAUGUGCACGUAGUAGUACACAUGUUGAUUUUCAAUGUGCACGUAGUUGUACACCUAUUGAUAACUAAUGUGCAUAUAGUCCUACACCUAUUGGUCGAUAAUGAAGCUAGGUUUGGACUUCAUAAAAAUAUGUAAUAUACAAUUAUGUCACUUUCCUACCUGAGUGGUCAAAAAAUCUAGGGAGUAAACAUGUGAAAUGGCAUAUUCUUGACAUGUACAUAAUUAUACACACAUGUUGAUUGUAAAUAUGGUGUGUACAUUAGGUAUUAUUAUUGUUCAUGGUUGUUCUUUAACCAAAUGAUGGACGAGAUGCGAUUAUCGUCUUCAAAAAAUAAAUUGUUGAUUCCAUUUGAUAUACAUUUCUUAAUUUUCUUGUAAUUUUUUUAUUCAUGUGUUUGACUUAUUAGUUGAACUGACUUUAUGAUCAUGUAGAUGCUAUUUUUGAGAAUAUACCCACGUUGAAGAGAUGGAAGUAGAUCAACAGGUAUUAGUUUAUCAGUUGUUUUUUUAUGCUAAUUAAUCUAGCUAAAAAGUGUUUGGUUUGAUUAGAGUUCUCAAGUCUGAAAGAAGAUGGUGUUACUGAGAUUUCAAGGGUGUUAGAACUGUUGAUUUGAUGAAUAUGGAGACAAUACUGUUACUUUGUGUGAUUUAGAGUUUGCAGUGAGUAAGCUGAUAACGAAAUGAAGAAAAGCUGUGCAUUGUUGCUGGCUGAGCAAUUACAGGCUAUGGAUGAGCUGCAGCUGGCUAUGAAGCAAUUGCAGGUGAUGCUAUGGGAAAUCUGGAAGAAUGGGUUUGCUUAUAUGUUGUAGUACAAGGAUGGUGCAGCUGAGUACUGAUGGUAGAACUCUGAAGUGGUGAUCUGGUGAAUAAAAAUUUUGAGUUGAAUGGUUGAGGUGUUGUAGUUGUUUGCAGCAGCAGAGUUAAGAGUGCUUGAGGGUUAAGAGUGCUUGAGCAUUGGAGCUGGUGUUGGUAAUGAGUUUGGGUUGUAAACAAGUUGUAUUUUUGUAAAUGUGUACAUGCAUGUUUGUACACCAAUGUAAGCUGAGUUUUUCAAAAAAUGAGAAUUAUAUAGUCAUAUGGGUAUUCUUUUUGUAGCUCUCGGAAAGAGUUUUCCGAAUAUAUAAAGUUUGCGAAUUUUGGACAAA